GACGAACGCUGGCGGCGUGCCUAAUACAUGCAAGUAGAACGCUGAAGGAGGAGCUUGCUUCUCUGGAUGAGUUGCGAACGGGUGAGUAACGCGUAGGUAACCUGCCUGGUAGCGGGGGAUAACUAUUGGAAACGAUAGCUAAUACCGCAUAAGAGUAGAUGUUGCAUGACAUUUACUUAAAAGGUGCAAUUGCAUCACUACCAGAUAGACCUGCGUUGUAUUAGCUAGUUGGUGAGGUAACGGCUCACCAAGGCAACGAUUCAUAGCCGACCUGAGAGGGUGAUCGGCCACACUGGGACUGAGACACGGCCCAGACUCCUACGGGAGGCAGCAGUAGGGAAUCUUCGGCAAUGGACGGAAGUCUGACCGAGCAACGCCGCGUGAGUGAAGAAGGUUUUCGGAUCGUAAAGCUCUGUUGUAAGAGAAGAACGAGUGUGAGAGUGGAAAGUUCACACUGUGACGGUAUCUUACCAGAAAGGGACGGCUAACUACGUG
RNAcentral lists this ribosomal RNA (495 nucleotides) under uncultured bacterium. RNAcentral's name for it is "partial 16S ribosomal RNA". It matches the Rfam family "Bacterial small subunit ribosomal RNA", at positions 28 to 507 of the family's 1533-position model. The record is from RNAcentral.